RNAcentral lists this ribosomal RNA (302 nucleotides) under uncultured bacterium. RNAcentral's name for it is "partial 16S ribosomal RNA". It matches the Rfam family "Bacterial small subunit ribosomal RNA", at positions 508 to 807 of the family's 1533-position model. The record is from RNAcentral.
GCAGUAGCCGCGGGAAUACAGAGGGUGCGAGCGUUAAUCGGAUUUACUGGGCGUAAAGCGUGCGUAGGCGGCUAAUUGAGUCGGAUGUGAAAUCCCCGAGCUUAACUUGGGAAUUGCAUUCGAUACUGGUUAGCUAGAGUGUGGGAGAGGAUGGUAGAAUUCCAGGUGUAGCGGUGAAAUGCGUAGAGAUCUGGAGGAAUACCGAUGGCGAAGGCAGCCAUCUGGCCUAACACUGACGCUGAGGUACGAAAGCAUGGGGAGCAAACAGGAUUAGAUACCCCAGUAGUCCCUGUCUCUUAUAC